Molecule: small RNA, 5717 nt
Filed under: Pan troglodytes (chimpanzee)
Lineage: Eukaryota; Metazoa; Chordata; Mammalia; Primates; Hominidae
Description: retained intron
Source: RNAcentral
CUCGAUUUGUGCCGUCAGUCUAACAACCUGUGCUUGCAAAGGGAAGAGGAUCUUCAGAGAACAAGAGAUUACCAUGACUGUAUGAAUGUCGUUGAAGUGUUCCUAGAAAAAUUUACUACAGAAUGGGAUAACUUGGCCAGAUCUGAUGCAGAGAGUACAGCUGUCCACCUGGAAGCUUUGAAAAAGUUAGCAUUGGCAUUGCAGGAGAGAAAGUAUGCUAUUGAAGAUCUGAAAGAUCAAAAGCAGAAAAUGAUAGAGCAUCUGAAUUUAGAUGACAAGGAGUUAGUCAAAGAACAGACGAGUCAUUUAGAGCAACGUUGGUUUCAGCUUGAGGACCUCAUUAAAAGGAAAAUCCAAGUGUCAGUCACCAACUUGGAGGAGUUAAAUGUGGUGCAGUCCAGAUUUCAGGAGCUAAUGGAGUGGGCAGAAGAGCAACAACCCAACAUCGCCGAGGCCCUUAAGCAGAGCCCUCCUCCAGAUAUGGCUCAGAACCUUCUCAUGGAUCACCUGGCCAUCUGCAGUGAACUGGAGGCCAAGCAGAUGCUCCUGAAAUCGCUUAUAAAGGACGCAGACAGGGUCAUGGCAGAUCUUGGUCUCAAUGAGCGACAGGUCAUCCAGAAGGCUCUCUCUGAUGCACAAAGCCACGUGAAUUGUCUCAGUGACUUAGUGGGCCAGCGAAGAAAGUACUUAAACAAAGCCUUGUCCGAGAAAACCCAGUUUCUCAUGGCAGUGUUCCAGGCCACCAGCCAAAUUCAGCAACAUGAGCGAAAGAUAAUGUUCCGUGAACACAUCUGUCUGUUACCAGAUGAUGUGAGCAAACAAGUCAAAACAUGUAAGAGUGCACAAGCCAGCCUCAAGACUUACCAAAAUGAAGUCACUGGACUUUGGGCCCAGGGUCGCGAACUAAUGAAGGAAGUCACAGAGCAGGAAAAGAGUGAAGUGCUGGGGAAGCUUCAGGAAUUGCAGAGUGUCUAUGACAGUGUUUUACAAAAGUGCAGUCACCGGUUACAAGAACUAGAGAAGAAUUUGGUUUCUAGGAAGCAUUUUAAGGAAGAUUUUGAUAAAGCUUGCCAUUGGCUAAAACAAGCAGAUAUUGUUACAUUUCCUGAAAUCAACCUAAUGAAUGAGAGUACUGAGCUUCAUACACAACUGGCUAAAUACCAAAACAUUCUUGAACAAUCUCCAGAAUAUGAAAAUCUUCUACUUACGCUGCAGAGAACUGGGCAGACCAUAUUACCAUCGCUGAAUGAAGUCGAUCAUUCCUACCUCAGUGAAAAGCUAAAUGCUUUGCCUCAACAAUUUAAUGUAAUUGUUGCCUUGGCUAAAGACAAGUUCUAUAAAGUCCAGGAAGCAAUUCUUGCUCGGAAGGAAUAUGCUUCCUUGAUUGAGUUGACAACCCAGUCUCUGAGUGAACUUGAAGCCCAAUUCUUGAGGAUGAGCAAAGUUCCCACUGACCUGGCCGUUGAGGAGGCUCUUUCUCUGCAAGAUGGUUGCAGAGCCAUUCUGGAUGAGGUGGCGGGCCUUGGGGAGGCGGUGGAUGAACUGAACCAGAAAAAAGAAGGUUUUCGCAGCACAGGUCAGCCUUGGCAGCCAGACAAGAUGCUGCACCUUGUCACCUUAUAUCACAGGCUGAAGCGACAAACAGAACAGAGGGUUAGCUUAUUAGAAGACACCACCAGUGCUUACCAAGAACACGAGAAGAUGUGCCAACAGCUGGAGAGACAACUGAAGUCUGUAAAAGAGGAGCAGUCCAAAGUGAAUGAGGAAACGCUGCCUGCAGAGGAGAAGCUCAAAAUGUAUCACUCCCUGGCAGGAAGUCUCCAGGACUCAGGGAUUGUACUGAAACGAGUAACCAUACAUCUUGAAGAUCUUGCCCCACACCUUGACCCCUUGGCUUAUGAGAAAGCCAGGCAUCAGAUCCAGUCCUGGCAAGAGGAGUUAAAACUGUUGACUUCUGCCAUUGGUGAGACGGUGACAGAAUGUGAGAGCCGAAUGGUGCAGAGUAUAGACUUCCAGACUGAGAUGAGUCGCUCCCUGGACUGGCUGAGGAGAGUGAAGGCAGAGCUCAGUGGGCCCGUGUACCUAGACCUCAACCUGCAGGACAUCCAAGAGGAAAUCAGAAAAAUCCAAAUUCAUCAGGAAGAGGUCCAGUCCAGCUUGAGAAUCAUGAAUGCGCUGAGUCACAAGGAAAAGGAGAAGUUCACAAAGGCCAAGGAGCUGAUUUCUGCGGAUUUAGAACACAGCCUCGCUGAGCUCUCAGAGCUGGAUGGAGACAUCCAGGAAGCCUUACGCACCAGACAGGCUACCUUGACUGAAAUAUAUAGCCAGUGUCAAAGGUAUUAUCAGGUAUUUCAAGCAGCCAAUGACUGGCUUGAGGAUGCCCAAGAAAUGUUACAGCUGGCAGGCAAUGGCCUAGACGUGGAGAGCGCAGAGGAAAAUCUCAAAAGGCACAUGGAAUUUUUCAGUACAGAGGAUCAGUUCCAUAGUAACCUGGAGGAGCUCCACAGCCUGGUAGCCACCCUGGACCCACUCAUCAAGCCAACCGGCAAAGAAGACCUAGAACAGAAAAUGGCUUCUCUGGAACUCAGGAGCCAGAGGAUGAGCCGGGACUCUGGUGCCCAAGUGGAGCUCUUGCAGAGAUGCACAGCUCAAUGGCACGAUUACCAGAAAGCAAGGGAAGAGGUUAUUGAAUUGAUGAAUGAUACAGAAAAGAAAUUGUCUGAGUUUUCUUUGUUGAAGACUUCGUCUAGUCAUGAAGCGGAAGAAAAAUUGUCAGAACACAAGGCUUUAGUGUCAGUGGUUAACUCUUUCCAUGAGAAAAUUGUGGCCCUUGAGGAAAAAGCUUCACAACUGGAGAAAACCGGAAAUGAUGCCAGCAAAGCCACCCUGAGCAGGUCAAUGACCACCGUCUGGCAGCGCUGGACACGCCUUCGAGCUGUGGCUCAGGACCAGGAGAAGAUCCUGGAAGAUGCAGUGGAUGAGUGGACGGGCUUUAACAACAAGGUUAAAAAGGCCACUGAAAUGAUUGAUCAGCUGCAAGAUAAGUUACCUGGAAGUUCAGCAGAGAAAGCAUCGAAAGCAGAACUCUUAACUCUUCUUGAAUACCACGACACGUUCGUUCUGGAGCUGGAGCAGCAGCAGUCGGCCUUGGGCAUGCUGCGGCAGCAAGCCCUGAGCAUGCUCCAGGAUGGAGCCGCCCCAACCUCUGGGGGAGAGCCUCCGCUCAUGCAGGAAAUCACCGCCAUGCAAGAUCGGUGCCUGAACAUGCAGGAGAAAGUGAAGACUAAUGGAAAGUUGGUGAAGCAAGAGCUGAAGGACCGAGAAAUGGUGGAGACUCAGAUCAAUUCUGUGAAAUGUUGGGUUCAGGAAACGAAAGAAUAUUUAGGGAAUCCAACAAUAGAAAUAGAUGCUCAACUUGAAGAACUUCAGAUUCUCCUAACAGAAGCCACAAAUCACCGACAGAACAUUGAAAAAAUGGCAGAAGAACAGAAGGAGAAGUACUUAGGUCUUUAUACCAUAUUACCUUCUGAACUCUCCCUUCAGUUGGCUGAAGUGGCGUUAGAUCUAAAGAUCCGAGAUCAGAUCCAAGACAAAAUAAAAGAAGUUGAGCAGAGCAAGGCCACGAGCCAGGAACUCAGCCGGCAAAUUCAGAAGUUAGCUAAAGACCUCACAACUAUUCUAACUAAGCUGAAAGCGAAGACAGAUAAUGUAGUUCAAGCUAAAACUGACCAAAAGGUGCUGGGAGAGGAAUUAGAUGGCUGUAAUUCAAAGUUAAUGGAAUUAGAUGCAGCAGUACAGAAAUUCUUGGAACAGAAUGGCCAACUGGGUAAGCCACUGGCCAAGAAGAUAGGAAAGCUGACUGAACUUCACCAGCAGACCAUUAGACAAGCUGAGAAUCGGCUCUCCAAGCUCAAUCAGGCAGCAUCACAUUUAGAAGAAUACAACGAAAUGCUUGAAUUAAUUUUGAAGUGGAUUGAAAAAGCUAAAGUCUUGGCUCAUGGAACUAUUGCAUGGAAUUCUGCAAGCCAGCUUCGGGAACAAUAUAUUUUGCAUCAGGUAACCUUAGGAAAAAUAAUCUUUAAAAAGUAACCAAGGGCAAUUUGAUUUAACUGGGUAGACUGACACAACACUUAGAGGGCUGUGAUGUAAAAUUUUUGGAGCUACCAGAUAAAAAGAAUGCUAAGGUACCCCUAAGUUGUUCAGUAGUUGGACAGAAAGGAGCUUCUCAUGAAGUUUCAUGAAAUUGAAUAAAUAAAUAUCCUUGAUCUUCCCUAAACCUUCCUUACACCAAGACCCAAACCAAUCAGCCUUGUAGAACUCAUUUUCUGUAGCUUCUUUGAAAUAAUUAUCUGCAGGAAUCUGGUGGGAAAUUCUUUCCUGUGAAGAGAUGCAAUGAAGUGUGGAAAGAUUCUAGACUCCACACUCAGACUGGUGGGAAAACCAAGCUCCGCCAUGCAGGGUUGUGUGAUUUGGAGCAGAAUGCUUUGCCUCUCUGAAUUCUGUCUUCUCAUCAUUUGUAUGAAGAUGUAAAUAAUAUUCGUAUUUCAGACUUAUGAGAUGAAGUGGUUUAAGGUACACACGUGCAAACGUCUGCCUGGCACAUGCAGGUGCUCAGUGGGAGAUCUCCCGCCUCCUCCCUCAGCCCUCACCCAGGCCUGUCAUCUGGCCUUCCACAGGAGGUCGGGCAGCCCAGAGCAAGCCAUGAGUCCACAUCACAUGCUGGCUAUGUUAGUUCAUUUCCUCUGAAGUUACAUGAGAAAAAUGUUCCUUUUCUGUCAGUCACGUCAUCCAGGAAAUUAUUUCAUCUUUUUGUAACUUAAGCUUAAAUUAGACACAGAUAGUUAAUAGGCUAGUUAUCAUAUAAUAAAAUAUAGGGUGACUUUUAUAGGAGUUACAUGGGUAUCGAGUAUUCUAGAAUUUUGUCUCUUAUAUUAUUUAUGUAUCCUUGUGGCCUUUAAAUGAAUCCCUGUUUCCAUUCUUGUUUACAGGGUUCUAGAUCAAAGCCUCAUUUUUCCAUUUUUGGAAUGCUUUAACAGCUUCUAAUUUUUCCCUAUAUUCACAGUCUUUCUUCUCUGAUCAAUCUUGCGUAUUCUUCCCACAAUGUCUUUCUUAAGCAACUCCAAUCUUUUGCUUUAAGAUAUGCUUAGAUAUGAACAGACAGGACUUAAGUUACCACUGAUUUGAAAACAAUGAAAAAAAGCCAACAUCCUUAGAAGUCUAGAAAUGCAAAUUUCAGCAAAAAAAGAGAGGAAGAAAGACAAACUUAACUGUCACAUUCAUACUGUUUCUUUCAAGUUCAUAUUUAAGGAAGUGAGAGCUCUCAAACAUUGCUGGUAUCCUGGUAAAAUCUCUUUGAAAAAUAAUUGGCAAAAUGUAUGGUGAUUGUCAAAAAUGUUGCUACUCUGGGCCAGGUGCGGUGGCUCACACCUGUAAUCCCAGCACUUUGGGAGGCCGAGGUGGGUGGAUCACAAGGUCAGGAGUUCAAGACCAGCUUGGCCAAUAUGGUGAAACCCCAUCUCUACUAAAAAUACAAAAGUUAGCUGGGCAUGGUGGUGGGCACCUGUAGUCCCAGCUACUCAGGAAUCUGAGGCAAGAGAAUCGCUUGAACUCGGGAGGUGGAGGUUGCAGUGAGCCAAGAUCACGCCACUGCACUCCAGCCUGGGUGACAGAGUGAGACUCCAUCUCAAAAAAAAAAAAAAAAAAAAAAAAAAAAAUUA